This 503-nucleotide ribosomal RNA is filed under the name uncultured bacterium. RNAcentral's name for it is "partial 16S ribosomal RNA". It matches the Rfam family "Bacterial small subunit ribosomal RNA", at positions 30 to 523 of the family's 1533-position model. The record is from RNAcentral.
AUUGAACGCUGGCGGCAGGCUUAACACAUGCAAGUCGAGCGGGGUGAUGGUGCUUGCACUAUCACUUAGCGGCGGACGGGUGAGUAAUGCUUAGGAAUCUGCCUAUUAGUGGGGGACAACAUCUCGAAAGGGAUGCUAAUACCGCAUACGUCCUACGGGAGAAAGCAGGGGAUCGCUUGUGACCUUGCGCUAAUAGAUGAGCCUAAGUCGGAUUAGCUAGUUGGUGGGGUAAAGGCCAACCAAGGCGACGAUCUGUAGCGGGUCUGAGAGGAUGAUCCGCCACACUGGGACUGAGACACGGCCCAGACUCCUACGGGAGGCAGCAGUGGGGAAUAUUGGGCAAUGGGGGGAACCCUGAUCCAGCCAUGCCGCGUGUGUGAAGAAGGCCUUAUGGUUGUAAAGCACUUUAAGCGAGGAGGAGGCUCUUUUGGUUAAUACCCAAGAUGAGUGGACGUUACUCGCAGAAUAAGCACCGGCUAACUCUGUGCCAGCCGCCGCCGUAA